GUUAUAUGGUCAAGUGAAGAAGCGCAUACGGUGGAUGCCUUGGCAGUCAGAGGCGAUGAAAGACGUGGUAGCCUGCGAAAAGCUUCGGGGAGUCGGCAAACAGACUGUGAUCCGGAGAUGUCUGAAUGGGGGAACCCAGCCAUCAUAAGAUGGUUAUCUUGUACUGAAUACAUAGGUGCAAGAGGCGAACCAGGGGAACUGAAACAUCUAAGUACCCUGAGGAAAAGAAAUCAACCGAGAUUCCCUUAGUAGUGGCGAGCGAACGGGGACCAGCCCUUAAGUUGUAUUGAGAUUAGCGGAACGUUCUGGAAAGGACGGCCAUAGUGGGUGAUAGCCCUGUACGCGAAAAUCCCUUUGCAAUGAAAUCGAGUAGGACGGGGCACGAGAAACCUUGUCUGAAUAUGGGGGGACCAUCCUCCAAGGCUAAAUACUACUGACUGACCGAUAGUGAACCAGUACCGUGAGGGAAAGGCGAAAAGAACCGCGGAGAGCGGAGUGAAAUAGAUCCUGAAACCGUAUGCGUACAAGCAGUGGGAGCCCACUUUGUUGGGUGACUGCGUACCUUUUGUAUAAUGGGUCAGCGACUUAUUUUCAGUGGCGAGCUUAACCGAAUAGGGGAGGCGUAGCGAAAGCGAGUCUUAAUAGGGCGUCUAGUCGCUGGGAAUAGACCCGAAACCGGGCGAUCUAUCCAUGGGCAGGUUGAAGGUUGGGUAACACUAACUGGAGGACCGAACCGACUACCGUUGAAAAGUUAGCGGAUGACCUGUGGAUCGGAGUGAAAGGCUAAUCAAGCUCGGAGAUAGCUGGUUCUCCUCGAAAGCUAUUUAGGUAGCGCCUCAUGUAUCACUGUAGGGGGUAGAGCACUGUUUCGGCUAGGGGGUCAUCCCGACUUACCAAACCGAUGCAAACUCCGAAUACCUACAAGUGCCGAGCAUGGGAGACACACGGCGGGUGCUAACGUCCGUCGUGAAAAGGGAAACAACCCAGACCGUCAGCUAAGGUCCCAAAGUCAUGGUUAAGUGGGAAACGAUGUGGGAAGGCUUAGACAGCUAGGAGGUUGGCUUAGAAGCAGCCACCCUUUAAAGAAAGCGUAAUAGCUCACUAGUCGAGUCGGCCUGCGCGGAAGAUGUAACGGGGCUCAAACCAUGCACCGAAGCUACGGGUAUCAUCUUAGGAUGAUGCGGUAGAGGAGCGUUCUGUAAGCCUGUGAAGGUGAGUUGAGAAGCUUGCUGGAGGUAUCAGAAGUGCGAAUGCUGACAUGAGUAACGACAAUGGGUGUGAAAAACACCCACGCCGAAAGACCAAGGUUUCCUGCGCAACGUUAAUCGACGCAGGGUUAGUCGGUCCCUAAGGCGAGGCUGAAAAGCGUAGUCGAUGGAAAACAGGUUAAUAUUCCUGUACUUCUGGUUAUUGCGAUGGAGGGACGGAGAAGGCUAGGCCAGCCUGGCGUUGGUUGUCCAGGUUUAAGGUGGUAGGCUGAGAUCUUAGGUAAAUCCGGGAUCUUAAGGCCGAGAGCUGAUGACGAGUGUUCUUUUAGAACACGAAGUGGUUGAUGCCAUGCUUCCAAGAAAAGCUUCUAAGCUUCAGGUAACCAGGAACCGUACCCCAAACCGACACAGGUGGUUGGGUAGAGAAUACCAAGGCGCUUGAGAGAACUCGGGUGAAGGAACUAGGCAAAAUGGCACCGUAACUUCGGGAGAAGGUGCGCCGGUGGAGGUGAAGCAUUUACUGCGUAAGCCCCUGCCGGUCGAAGAUACCAGGCCGCUGCGACUGUUUAUUAAAAACACAGCACUCUGCAAACACGAAAGUGGACGUAUAGGGUGUGACGCCUGCCCGGUGCCGGAAGGUUAAUUGAUGGGGUUAGCGCAAGCGAAGCUCUUGAUCGAAGCCCCGGUAAACGGCGGCCGUAACUAUAACGGUCCUAAGGUAGCGAAAUUCCUUGUCGGGUAAGUUCCGACCUGCACGAAUGGCGUAACGAUGGCGGCGCUGUCUCCACCCGAGACUCAGUGAAAUUGAAAUCGCUGUGAAGAUGCAGUGUAUCCGCGGCUAGACGGAAAGACCCCGUGAACCUUUACUAUAGCUUUGCACUGGACUUUGAAUUUGCUUGUGUAGGAUAGGUGGGAGGCUUUGAAGCGUGGACGCCAGUCUGCGUGGAGCCAACCUUGAAAUACCACCCUGGCAACUUUGAGGUUCUAACUCAGGUCCGUUAUCCGGAUCGAGGACAGUGUAUGGUGGGUAGUUUGACUGGGGCGGUCUCCUCCUAAAGAGUAACGGAGGAGUACGAAGGUGCGCUCAGACCGGUCGGAAAUCGGUCGUAGAGUAUAAAGGCAAAAGCGCGCUUGACUGCGAGACAGACACGUCGAGCAGGUACGAAAGUAGGUCUUAGUGAUCCGGUGGUUCUGUAUGGAAGGGCCAUCGCUCAACGGAUAAAAGGUACUCCGGGGAUAACAGGCUGAUACCGCCCAAGAGUUCAUAUCGACGGCGGUGUUUGGCACCUCGAUGUCGGCUCAUCACAUCCUGGGGCUGAAGCCGGUCCCAAGGGUAUGGCUGUUCGCCAUUUAAAGUGGUACGCGAGCUGGGUUUAGAACGUCGUGAGACAGUUCGGUCCCUAUCUGCCGUGGACGUUUGAGAUUUGAGAGGGGCUGCUCCUAGUACGAGAGGACCGGAGUGGACGAACCUCUGGUGUUCCGGUUGUCACGCCAGUGGCAUUGCCGGGUAGCUAUGUUCGGAAAAGAUAACCGCUGAAAGCAUCUAAGCGGGAAACUUGCCUCAAGAUGAGAUCUCACUGGAACCUUGAGUUCCCUAAAGGGCCGUCGAAGACUACGACGUUGAUAGGUUGGGUGUGUAAGCGCUGUGAGGCGUUGAGCUAACCAAUACUAAUUGCCCGUGAGGCUUGACCAUAUAACACCCAAGCAAUU
RNAcentral lists this ribosomal RNA (2918 nucleotides) under Pseudomonas syringae. RNAcentral's name for it is "bacterial LSU rRNA". It matches the Rfam family "Bacterial large subunit ribosomal RNA". The record is from RNAcentral. Lineage: Bacteria; Pseudomonadati; Pseudomonadota; Gammaproteobacteria; Pseudomonadales; Pseudomonadaceae.